ACGAAUCGAAAGCUUGCUUUUGAUUCGUUAGCGGCGGACGGGUGAGUAACACGUGGGCAACCUGCCCUGUAGACGGGGAUAACACCGAGAAAUCGGUGCUAAUACCGGAUAACACGAAAUGUCGCAUGACGUUUCGUUGAAAGACGGCGCAAGCUGUCGCUACAGGAUGGGCCCGCGGCGCAUUAGCUAGUUGGUGAGGUAACGGCUCACCAAGGCGACGAUGCGUAGCCGACCUGAGAGGGUGAUCGGCCACACUGGGACUGAGACACGGCCCAGACUCCUACGGGAGGCAGCAGUAGGGAAUCUUCCGCAAUGGACGAAAGUCUGACGGAGCAACGCCGCGUGAGCGAAGAAGGCCUUCGGGUCGUAAAGCUCUGUUGUUAGGGAAGAACAAGUAACGCAGUAACUGGCGUUACCUUGACGGUACCUAACGAGAAAGCCACGGCUAACUACGUGCCAGCAGCCGCGGUAAUACGUAGGUGGCAAGCGUUGUCCGGAAUUAUUGGGCGUAA
RNAcentral lists this ribosomal RNA (512 nucleotides) under Anoxybacillus flavithermus. Its description in RNAcentral is "bacterial SSU rRNA". It matches the Rfam family "Bacterial small subunit ribosomal RNA", at positions 69 to 563 of the family's 1533-position model. Lineage: Bacteria; Bacillati; Bacillota; Bacilli; Caryophanales; Anoxybacillaceae. The record is from RNAcentral.